UCUCAAAGGGGGGUACGUUUACCACUAGGGGUAUUAUAGAGGACUGCAGGGGGUACGUGUACCACUAGGGGUACUAUAGAGGACUGCAGGGGGUACGUGUACCCCUAGGGGUACUAUAGAGGACUGCAGGGGGUACGUGUACCCCUAGGGGUACUAUAGAGGACUGCAGGGUUAAUAUCAGUCAUAU
This is a long non-coding RNA of Etheostoma spectabile (orangethroat darter), 187 nucleotides long. RefSeq lists it as uncharacterized. The record is from RefSeq and is a predicted model, not a curated record. The transcript has 4 exons. NCBI's taxonomy places the organism in Eukaryota, Metazoa, Chordata, Actinopteri, Perciformes, Percidae.